UCGAAAUCCUCAGUUAGUGGAGGAUACAAGUGAUGCGGGUAAUGAUGAAGAGUUGCUGGGCAUGGUGGGUCACACCUUUAAUCCCAGCAUUUGGGAGGCAGAGCCAGGUGGAUCUCUGUGACUUCUAGGCCAGCCAGGGCUACAGAGUGAGCCCCUGUCUCAAAACAACAGCAACAAAACAACAAUACAACAAAGGAAUAAGGAGAAGAGAAGUUAGAGUGGAGUUCCAGGUGGGACACUUGCCAGGCCGGCAUGAACUCCUGGGUCCAUCCCUAGAGCAGCAGCAGUGGGAAAGAAGAUGAUGGAGAUGGAAGAGAGGACCCAGAAGCAGAGAGGUGUACACAUGGGAAUAUGCACACACAUGUGAACAUGUACCUCAUAUACAACACCCACUGACAAAUUAAAAGAAAAAGUCUACCACAUGCGAGUUUCAUCCUGUGGAGAAAGGUGGUGCUGGAUUGCUAAAGGGCAGAUGUUAACAUCUACAAACUUUCCUAAGGAGUUUUCAUCUGCAGGGAUCCUAGUCUUCCUUUGACAUAGAGGGAAUUGUUCUCAGAAGGUCAGUAAGAACACGCAGACUGGGAGGCACGUACCAGAAGCACACAUUUGUGUGCUGAGGCUACAAAGAAGAAAGAAAGAAGGAUUCAGACCCGGUCCCAAAUUCCAAUAAUGGUUUGAAUGAACUUAUCCUUCAGGCUCAGAAGAUAAUUCCUGUAUUUAAAUGAGUAAUUGCCUUUGGAGCGCCUCACUUUCACAUUCUAUAGAAUUAAUUGUGAGUCCAAUCUUUAUUCCAGCUCAGAGGAGCCAUCCGGCCAUCUAUUGCGUCCCCUUGUAAUGGUCCCACUUAGCUAGACAGCACAUUACUGACCUCGGAAAACUCCGGGGUAGAGUGGGAUUGACGACGCUGGGGACCGGAAAUGUGAGCACGUACCUUUCCAUCAAACACCAUUUCAUAGCCUUCUCGGUUUUUUAUGAUAUUGUAUAAAUACUCUGCGAGCUCCAAACACUUGUCAAUGUGUGCUUCAAACCCAGUAGUCCCCUGGAAAAGAGAAGAAAAAGUGGGUGUGUGGGUCGCUCUCAGCUGGAAAUGGUGGAAUGAUUUGAGUACUCUGGAGACUGGUGGUCAGCCUGCCCUCUCCAGCUCUGCCGUGCUGAGAUGAGGCUGCUCCUGGAGGCUUUGCUGCUGACUGGUUCCCGUUUAACCCCCCGCCCCCACCCCCGGGUGCAUUUGUUCCUUUUCAUUACUGGGGCCUACAGCUGAUUCCUUUUGUUCCCAGGGUUUAGUCCCCCAGACAAUUAUUUUGAUUACUCAAGGGGAAAAUUUCCCUCUGCAGCUCAUAGAUGCAAUCAUGGAAGUCAUUAAUAACAGAAGGACUGCGCUAGUCUUUUUCUGUAGACAAGAGUGGGCUGUGAGGGACCCCCCACAUGCCUGCUUGGCCCCCACUCCUGUUGUAAAAUAGCCAUUCCCAAACUCUCUAUAUGCCUCAAUAAGAACAAACGGACGCUCACUGAAUGCCAGUUGAUCUUAGGAAGCCUGUUAUUCCGCCUAGCUUUCCGGUGUUGUCCUUUGUGAAGUGUGUGACUCAUGUGUUAGGUGACAUAUGAGUGAGCAUAUGGGUGAGUGUGCCACUGACGUCCUUUACUUCUGAGCUCCGGAAACCUCGGGUCUGGACAUAGGAAACACAGUACAACAGCCUUGGACAGGCGCUUGUUACCCAAUGUCUGGACACACUAAAGAACUGAUUUCCAAAAUGCCUUGUCUCCUUUAGUGCCUGUACUCAGUAAGGGUAAAUGGAAAUCUCAGAAAAGCAAUUACUGCUCUUGGAACUGAAAUGCCACCUACCCCAGCAUGGGAACCAGGUGAAGAAGCUCUAACUAUAAUGGAGAUAAGAUGGCUAUGCUCUCCUCUUUAUUCAGGGCCUUAUCAUCCCCCAGAGGGAAGCCCCAACACAGCCCAUGAAAAGAAUGUUCCAGGUCCUAAUUCCUGGGAGGGGGGAAUGUAAGAAAUAUUAGGCGUGGGUCAAACUGCAAGAGUAGGUCAGCCCUUGAGAACAAGGUGAAGGCGCCCGCUUUUCCCAGCCUUGAAAUAGAAGACCUCGGAGAGAGGUGAAACAGGGAAGGUCACCAGCUGCAUUACUUAAGAGCUUUUUCGAUUUGUUACACAAAGUUUCAAAUGUCUGAACAUCCAAAUGGAAAAAUUCUCCGUUUCACUUCCAACUUCAAGCUUCACUUUUUUUUUUUCAAGGUGAAAUGACAAAAGUUACCAAAAUAAUAAGUGCAGUCCCUCACCUAGACCAGAAGCAAGGAUAAUUAUCUCAUCUGAAGCCCCCUAGCCAUGCCUAUCGUGGGAGUCAACCCUUCCCUGCAAGAACCACCAUGGAAAAUGUGGCUAUGACGAUUACAUGGUUGUGAGACAAGAUCCAACUCUGAAGACAGGCUGCUCUCAAACCCACCCCACUCCUCUUGCCUUAGCUUACUGCGUGGAUGACAACCUUUCUUUCGUGUGAAUUGAGAGUGUAGCCAAAAUUAAACUAAGAUCACAAAGCAAAGCCAAAAUGUCCCCCAAAAGUUAUGAAGGUGGGAUUCGGACUUGGGUUUGUGGGGUGGGCGAGAUAAGAAAGGGUGGAGGGACAGUGUGACGAGGAUGCAUUAUAUGCAUGCAUGACACCUUCAAUGAAUAAACUGAUAAAAAUAUAAUCCUUGACCUUUGCUGACUCCUUACAUUUAGCAUGUCUGCCUCCAGAAGGCUGAGAAGAGGCCCUGCCUGUACUGUACCAACAGCUACAGAAAGUACUGGUAAAGGAAGGAUCACCUCUAGAAAACAUUUGAGAUACACAGAACUCUAAACUUCUAGAGUUUUAAAAAGUGUUUUCUCAUUGGGAGUUAUCCCUUGAAGAGUCCAAGACAAGCAAUCAUGGUAGGCAUUUUUCAGUCCUGUUUCAUUCUGUUAAUACACAAAUCUACCCAGGCGAUCGAUCAGUCAUCAAGAAGGAUCAUCAAUCAAGAUGGAGAGGAUGGCACAAAAUUAACCGCUUAAAAAAAUUAUGGCGCUCUGCCAGACGCAUCAAAUGGGUUUUUGAGUUGAGAGCUGGAGAAACUACUGGACUUGAGAAGGGACAAAGGAUGGGUCUAGUUGUGCUCCUGCCCAUGGAGAAUGUGGGUAUGCAGGUAUGGGAUCAAAGAGAAUUGCCCAAGUGAUUUUCCAUCUAGCAAUCACUUCUUUCUGUGGCUGUCAUUCAGCUGACCUGUGCUCACCUUUGC
Myodes glareolus (Bank vole) is the source of this 3261-nucleotide non-coding RNA. The record is from RefSeq and is a predicted model, not a curated record. Lineage: Eukaryota; Metazoa; Chordata; Mammalia; Rodentia; Cricetidae.